Molecule: ribosomal RNA, 293 nt
Filed under: uncultured bacterium
Lineage: Bacteria
Description: partial 16S ribosomal RNA
Rfam family: Archaeal small subunit ribosomal RNA
Source: RNAcentral
GUGCCAGCCGCCGCGGUAAUACCGGCAGCUCGAGUGAUGGCCGAUCUUAUUGGGCCUAAAGCGUCCGUAGCCGGCCAGACAGGUCCGUCGGGAAAUCCACCCGCUCAACGGGUGGGCGUCCGGCGGAAACCCUCUGGCUUGGGACCAGAAGACCCGAGGGGUACGUCCGGGGUAGGAGUGAAAUCCCGUAAUCCUGGACGGACCACCGAUAGCGAAAGCACCUCGGGAAGAUGGAUCCGACGGUGAGGGACGAAAGCUGGGGUCUCGAACCGGAUUAGAAACCCGUGUAGUCC